This 82-nucleotide transfer RNA is filed under the name Dreissena polymorpha. RNAcentral describes it as "transfer RNA cysteine (anticodon ACA)". It matches the Rfam family "tRNA". From Rfam's summary of the family: Transfer RNA (tRNA) molecules are approximately 80 nucleotides in length. Their secondary structure includes four short double-helical elements and three loops (D, anti-codon, and T loops). Lineage: Eukaryota; Metazoa; Mollusca; Bivalvia; Myida; Dreissenidae. The record is from Rfam by way of RNAcentral.
GUUGUCGUGGCUGAGUGGUUAAGGCGAUGGACUACAAAUCUUUUGGGAUCUUCCCGCGCAGGUUCGAUCCCUGCCGACAUCG